Molecule: long non-coding RNA, 2071 nt
Organism: Homo sapiens (human)
Lineage: Eukaryota; Metazoa; Chordata; Mammalia; Primates; Hominidae
Exons: 3
Source: RefSeq, a predicted model, not a curated record
UGUGGAUUUGUCACAGGUGGUUCUUAUUUUUUAGAGAUUUUUUUCCAUCACUUUACUUUGAGCCUAUCAGUGUCAUUGAAUGGGAGAUCGUUCUCUUGAAGACAGCAUACAAUUGGGUCUUGCUUAUUUAUUCAAUUUUCUACUCUGUGCCUUUUAGGUGGGGUGGAAAGGCAUCUGGAAACAGAGGAAAACAUUCCAUUUAGAAGAAAAUCUCAAUGUUGUCCUUGGGUUUGUGAGUUUUCAGAUCUCUCUUGUUUGAAAAUGAGAAGACCAAAUCUGGAUUUUUCUAUGUUCUCCUGGCUCCAGAGAAAUAGCCAUUGUUUUCCCGGAAAUGAUGAGGCAAUAGAAAUCUAUAGGCCCAUUCCUAUAAGUGCCACCUCAGCCAUUGCUAAUCCACCUGGUAGGCCCUGGGUUCUUCAGGACAUUGAGAAAUAUGAAACUUUUCUAAAACAGAGGGAGCCUUCUUGGAUUACAUCUCAUCCAUCAGGGAGCAAGGCUCAUGCUCUAAGCUCCAGUACACUGCUAAGAAUUCUAGGUAAAUCUCUACUGAUAAACCCUUCAUAUCUCUCUGUCUACCUACUGACUCCUUCUCUGGGGUCCUGAAUAUAUCUAUUAUAAAACUUUCUUGAGAAACUUCACCUAUAUCUUAUCCUGUAUCCUAUUUACUUAAAAAAAGUAUUUACUUUUUACAAAUGUCAACAGCUUUAGGGUAAAAGUGGGUUUUGAUUAACAUGGAUGAAUUGUACGGUGGUUAAGUCUAUAUUUUUAGUGUACCCAUCACCCGAAUAACACACAUUGUACCUAAUAGGUAAUUUUUCCUCCUUCAUCCCUUUCCCAACCUCCUCGCUUCUGAGUCUCUAGUUUCAUUAUACCAUCCUGUAUGACCCUGCAUACUCAUGGCUUAGCUCUUUGCAAUUGUGACUUGUGCUGCAAUAAAUAUCUCAUGAGGAAAACACAUUUUCUAAUAAUACUUUAGCUACUAUUAUUACAUCAGCCUUCUUGCAUAGGAAAACUUUCACACAUCCAGAAAACAUGUAUUGCAAAUGACAAUUGAAUCAAAUCCUCCUAUAAGUGUUUAAGUGGUCCAUCAAAUAGCAGAUACAUACCAGAAAUUUUUAUUGUCUUUAUUCUCUUCCCAGGAUUAUGGGUUUGACAAACCAAACCUUGGUCAUAAACCAUUUUAACAAUUUAGAACAGUCACCACAUAUAUGUAUAUAUCUAAAUGUAUUUGAUUUUUUCCUCACAAAAGCCCUUUUGGAAUUAAUAAAAAGAUAAAACAUUAUUCUUAUAUGAAGCUCCACUUAAAACUCUCUAUGUAUCUUCUAGUGUCUUCAAAUAUCCCACCUCCUACCCAUAACAUACUAAGAAAGUUUAAGGCAAUAAAAAUCUUAAAAAUUACUCUUAUAACAUAUUCUCACCCUCCCUAGAGCCAGAGAUCUCCUAAAAAAACUUAAAUUCAAAACAAAAUUAAUUUUCUUUAACCUUAGUAGUCAAACCUCUUUUACUCUAAUGCUAUUAUUUUUUUGUGAGUUUCUUAAAAGGCUGUACAACAAAGGUUAAAUUGUGUAAUGUCAUUUUAAUCAUGACAGUAUUUAUAUUCUUUGGAGCAAUGAGAUUCAUCUUAAUGACCUACUGUACUGGUAUAAUUUUUUUUAUAGUAAAAAUGACCAAACAAGGAAGGCGAAAUACAUUGAAUAUAUUUCAAAAUGUCAAGUUCUUAGAUUGGAGCUCAUAUGGUUGUCUAGUUGGGGGAGAUAACUCCAUUCUCUUCUUUAAUAUUUUAUAAAUGAGAGAAGAGUUCAAAAUUAUUUAGAAAUUGAUUUGUAAAUCCAAGACAAAUAACCAAGUAUUCUGACAUCUCAUUAAAUGUCCCUGUAAUAUGUAUUCAGUGUAUUAUUUAUACCCUUUUUAAAACUAAAUCACUGCUACCUGAAAAUUAAGUCCGGAUAUCAAACAGCUAUAUAGUCUUUUUCAUAUAAAAACAAAAGUUUAUUCUAUUCAUAUAAACAUUAAAAUGUGGGCUUGUUUUUAAACAAACAAAAGUAAGAGUGCUAGUAUAGUUUUACCAAUA